RNAcentral lists this ribosomal RNA (725 nucleotides) under uncultured Christensenella sp. Its description in RNAcentral is "bacterial SSU rRNA". It matches the Rfam family "Bacterial small subunit ribosomal RNA", at positions 28 to 776 of the family's 1533-position model. Lineage: Bacteria; Bacillati; Bacillota; Clostridia; Christensenellales; Christensenellaceae. The record is from RNAcentral.
GACGAACGCUGGCGGCAUGCCUAACACAUGCAAGUCGAACGGAAGUAGCAAUACUUUAGUGGCGAACGGGUGAGUAACACGUGAGCAACCUGCCUUAUACUCAGGGAUAACAGUUGGAAACGACUGCUAAUACCGGAUAAGACCACACUAUGGCAUCAUAGAGGGGUCAAAGUGAUUUAGCGGUAUGAGAUGGGCUCGCGUCCAAUUAGCUAGUUGGUGGGGUAACGGCCCACCAAGGCGACGAUUGGUAGCCGACUUGAGAGAGUGAUCGGCCACACUGGAACUGAGACACGGUCCAGACUCCUACGGGAGGCAGCAGUGGGGAAUAUUGGGCAAUGGAGGAAACUCUUACCCAGCAAUGCCGCGUGAGUGAUGAAGGUCUUUGGAUUGUAAAGCUCUUUGAUUGGGGACGAAUAAAUGACGGUACCCAAAGAACAAGCCCCGGCUAACUAUGUGCCAGCAGCCGCGGUAAUACAUAGGGGGCGAGCGUUGUCCGGAAUGACUGGGCGUAAAGGGUGUGUAGGCGGUUUAUUAAGUUAGGAGUGUAAUACCCAGGGCUUAACCCGGGUGCUGCUUCUAAACUGGUAGACUUGAGUGUAGGAGAGGAUGAUGGAAUUCCUAGUGUAGCGGUGGAAUGCGCAGAUAUUAGGAGGAACACCAGAGGCGAAAGCGAUCAUCUGGACUACAACUGACGCUGAGGCACGAAAGCGUGGGGAGCAAACAGG